AGGAGAAGCCCACAAAUUGGAUCUCACGAGUUCCACCACCACUCCUCGCCGCCGUCCAUGCUCCGACGUCAGCAGGGCCAGCAAGACGGCGACUUCCACUGGCUGUAAGCCAUCAAAGCUUUGCAUGCGUGAGGCCGGGUUGAUGUUGACUUAAUCAAUCUCCCUGCUGGCGAGGACUUCCUACAGUUAAACACACAUGUCUGGUUAUCAAAGACUCAUGUAGGAUGGUCCCGAGCUCCAAACCAUGGAGGCAGUGGCCUCUUCUCUGUCUCUGUUGAAAAUGUUAAGCACGAAGGAAAGCAGCUGCAUCACCACAAACGCCAAGGAGAAGCACACGAAUGAAUCUGGGUUUCCAUUUUGAAGUUAUAGCUGCUGUACUGAAAGGAAAGGAACUCUUUUCUCCGUGAAAAUGCAAAGAAAAAUAAAUCUGGGUUAUUGGUCACUCACCUGACCCAGGCCCCAGAUAGAGCAAUCGAGGCGGUGGCCAUGGCGCUCCCAGA
Molecule: long non-coding RNA, 500 nt
Organism: Triticum dicoccoides
Lineage: Eukaryota; Viridiplantae; Streptophyta; Magnoliopsida; Poales; Poaceae
Exons: 5
Source: RefSeq, a predicted model, not a curated record